RNAcentral lists this ribosomal RNA (305 nucleotides) under uncultured bacterium. RNAcentral describes it as "bacterial SSU rRNA". It matches the Rfam family "Bacterial small subunit ribosomal RNA", at positions 28 to 332 of the family's 1533-position model. The record is from RNAcentral.
GACGAACGCUGGCGGCGUGCUUCAUACAUGCAAGUCGAACGGUGAACCCUCUUCGGAGAGUGUAUAGAGUGGCGCACGGGUGAGUAACACGUAAGUAAUCUACCUUCGAGUGGGGAAGUAACGUCCGGAACGGACGCUAAUACCGCAUAAUGCAGCGGCAUCGCAAGAUGACAGUUGUUAAAGAUUUAUCGCUUGAAGAGGAGCUUGCGGCAGAUUAGCAGUUGGUAAGGUAAUGGCUUACCAAGGCCACGAUCUGUAACCGGUCUAAGAGGACGGUCGGUCACACUGACACUGAAUAACGGGUC